Molecule: ribosomal RNA, 168 nt
Filed under: uncultured bacterium
Lineage: Bacteria
Description: partial 16S rRNA
Rfam family: Bacterial small subunit ribosomal RNA
Source: RNAcentral
AGCAGUAGGGAAUCUUCUACAAUGGGCGAAAGCCUGAUGGAGCAACGCCGCGUGUGUGAUGAAGGGUUUCGGCUCGUAAAACACUGUUGUAAGAGAAGAAUGACAUUGAGAGUAACUGUUCAAUGUGUGACGGUAUCUUACCAGAAAGGAACGGCUAAAUACGUGCAG